RNAcentral lists this long non-coding RNA (2134 nucleotides) under Bactrocera latifrons. Its description in RNAcentral is "uncharacterized LOC108971442". The record is from RNAcentral. Lineage: Eukaryota; Metazoa; Arthropoda; Insecta; Diptera; Tephritidae.
CCGUCUGCAGAAUUUAAGUUCAAACAGCAUAGGUGUUGUGUGAUAUUGGCAGAAAAUGAUUUCAACGCUAUAGUUUACAAGUUUGGUGAAUUCAAGUGACACCGAAAGUGAAAAGUGGCAUCUUAAUUAUCGUGAAAACUUAUCCCAUUACAAAAAUUAAAAAAAGUGGUUUCCGGUGGUCAAAUCGAGUUGAGAAUUUUUCAGAAAAUGGAAGAGUUUAGACAUCAGAAAAAAAGAAAAUAUUGUGCGAAAAAGCCACAUGAGUUCAUAGAGGAAGAUAAAAGAAAGCUUAAAUUAUCUGCAAUGACAGAUGAAGAAAUCGAGCAAUUGAUGAACUCCACUCUUUUGUCUGAUGAAGAAUCUGAGUAGGAAGACGAUGACAACAGUAUAGCUGACCCAGAGUAUGUUGUUGAUCAGAUAUCACCUGAGGAAGAUCAAACCAUAGACGACGUUUUAUGUGAAAUGAACAACAGCGUUGUAGGCAACGAAGUUGGGUUGUCGUUGAAUUUUAGCACACUUAGUGUGUGUUAUACAUCCAUAACUAGUACAGACAACAUUCGCCGCUAUCGACAACCGAAUCGACUGGCCCAAAAGUAAUACCAUCAUCAGGAGGAUUUCCAGGCUCAAGCUUGGAUGCCAUUGACAAGAGUUCGAUUGAGUUNUCAAAUAUCUUAUAGCGAGAAAGAUCUAUGAAAAUGCAUGUGAAUGAAAUUGCGUUCCGUGGAACGUGGGUUACCGUAUGCCGUCAGAAAGCUUAAGAACCCCAUUGAGUUUUUAAAUUAUUUUUUGACUGAUGAACUCAUAGCCGUAAUUAUUGAAGAAACCAACCGAGCAGCGCGGUCAAUAGACAUAAAUACCCAGCUCAUAACUAAUUCUUCACAGAUUCGAAAAUAUCUCGGCGUUUUGAUGUUUAUGUCUAUUUUUCGCUAUUCAAAUAUAGAAGUGCACUGGAGUGAAUUUGGAUUUAGACACGUACCAAAUGCUUUGCCUUGGAAGAAAUUUGUUGCAGUUAAAAAGCAUUUGUCUUUUUCUGAUAAGAGUAAGCGCAUCAAAAGAGGUGAGCCAGGGUAUGAUCCAUUAUUUCGAAUUAGGAAAAUUGUUGAUUUUUUGAAUGAACGCUUCAAUUCCGUUCCUAAACAAGCUCGUUUAUAUAUUGAUGAACAGAUGUGUAAAACAAAGGCCGUGUACCAUUUGCGGCAAUAUAUGACAAACAGGCGCAAUAAAUGGGGUUUAAAGCUUUUCGUGCUGUGCGACAGCAAUGGAUAUGCAUACCAGUUUGAGGAAUCAUAUUCUAUACUUUGACAAUUUUUACUCAUCACUGCCCCUACUGGUACCAUUCGAGCCAACAGAAUAUCAAACAUUAAGCUACCAUCCGGUUCAGAUACUGAGCUGAGAAAAGUGGAUAGAGGUUUCGCAGUUGAGUUUUCUGCUACUGCGUAAGGAGUUGACUUGACUACGGCUCUCUGGAAAGACACCAAAAAUGUUCGUCUAUGCUCAACUUAUGUAGGUGUCGAACCAUUUGCAAAAGCGAAUGCUGCUAUCCAGCCAUCGAAAAUUCAUAGAUGUAAUAGAAAAAAGAGAGAAACAUUGAAAUAGAUUGCCCACAAAUCAUUCGUGAGUACAACUCUGACAUGGAUGGUGUAGAUCUCAUGGAUUCAUUUAUGGGCAGACGGCUUGCAUAUAUAAACCAUUAAUACAAUGACUCGCAUNUUCUAUCAUUUACUAGACAUGACUGUUACCAGUGCUUUCAUUCUGUACCGUCGAAACAAAUCAUCGCUUGUAGAGGAAGGAAGAAACGGAAAAGAUUUGACUCUAUACCAGUUUCGUUUACAAUUAGCAAAAUCGCUGUGUGCUUCCACCGACAAACCAACGGUUGGACGUCCAUCAAGCGGAUCGCAGUUAUUUCUUAGCAAUAUCACUAUUGGUAAACGAGCAGUGCACCCCGUAGAAGAAAUGAGGUAUGAUCAGCUCAACCAUCUUCCAGAAUGGGGUUCAAAGAAGUCGUGUAAACUUUGUAAGAAAUCUGAUACACACACUUUUUGUACAAAAUGUAAGCUACAUUUAUGUUUUUCAAGUACGGAAAACUGUUUCAAAGACUAUCAUUUGAAUGAAAAUUAAAAACAACACAACUUAA